Long non-coding RNA from Myotis myotis, 138 nucleotides. RefSeq lists it as uncharacterized. The record is from RefSeq and is a predicted model, not a curated record. The transcript is spliced from 3 exons. Lineage: Eukaryota; Metazoa; Chordata; Mammalia; Chiroptera; Vespertilionidae.
AAGAAACAAGAUUGGUAACUGCGUUUUAAUAAAGUGUAAAUCCUCUUAGGGACUCUUCAAAUAGGCCUGGCUCUUUAAAGCCUCCUAAAUUAGUUCAUGUGACUGAAUUUGCUGAAGGCAAUGCAGAACAAAUUAAAA